UACGGAGGGUGCGAGCGUUGUCCGGAAUCACUGGGCGUAAAGGGCGCGUAGGCGGCGCGGCAAGUCUGUGGUGAAAGCCCGAGGCUCAACUUCGGGUCGGCCAUGGAUACUGCUGCGCUCGAGCACUGUAGAGGCAGGUGGAAUUCCGGGUGUAGCGGUGGAAUGCGUAGAGAUCCGGAAGAACACCGGUGGCGAAGGCGGCCUGCUGGGCAGUAGCUGACGCUGAGGCGCGAAGGCCAGGGGAGCAAACGGG
RNAcentral lists this ribosomal RNA (253 nucleotides) under uncultured bacterium. RNAcentral describes it as "partial 16S ribosomal RNA". It matches the Rfam family "Bacterial small subunit ribosomal RNA", at positions 524 to 776 of the family's 1533-position model. The record is from RNAcentral.